GAGGUAACAGCUUAUUAAGCUGCCUCUUUAGUCUAAGUGGUCACCUGUGGUUUAAGCUAACCGUUUUGCCUUUACACAGGAAAGGACUAGGAGCAUUCAUGUGGUCAUUUACUGCUGAGAGACAUUUUCAGAAGGCAGUACUCUACUGAGGAGAUGUGUAAGUUUGUGAGUUCUUCUACUUUCUUUCAUUACUAAGUCAAGUGGGAUAAUUUAAACCUAUUGAAAUAAAAUUUUUGAACCUUAUAGGAUGACUUUGCUUUCCCUAAGUGAAACUGGAAAAAUCAACAUCUUUUCAUGACAUGAUCAAAAUGGCUAUUUCCAACAGAAAAAACAUCCCAUCAGCUGAUGAUGGACAAAAUCUAGUGGACCCAAAACCGCGAGGUGUUGAACAUUUUUGAUGAGGAAUCAGGUACCUUCAACAGUAGGUGACUGAGAAGUGUACUCCGAAGCAGCUGAAACAAUAUUUGGUGAGGAUUUCAUAGACUUUAUUGUGACACCUAAAUAUCAUACCCU
RNAcentral lists this long non-coding RNA (513 nucleotides) under Struthio camelus australis. Its description in RNAcentral is "lncRNA (ENSSCUG00000002166.1)". The record is from RNAcentral. Lineage: Eukaryota; Metazoa; Chordata; Aves; Struthioniformes; Struthionidae.